AGCAGCCGCGGUAAUUCCAGCUCCAAUAGCGUAUAUUAAAGUUGUUGCAGUUAAAAAGCUCAUAGUUGAAUUUCGGGACCAAUCUGCCGGUCGUGCCUCCGGUACGCACUGGUUUUAUUGGUUUCUCCCUUCUGACGAACCAUGAUGUCAUUAAUUUGGUGUCGUGGGGAAUCAGGACUGUUACUUUGAAAAAUUAGAGUGUUUAUAGCAGGCUCACGCUUGAAUACAUUAGCAUGGAAUAAUGAAAUAGGACGUUUGACCCUAUUUUGUUGGUUUCUAGGAUCGACGUAAUGAUUAAUAGGGAUAGUUGGGGGCAUUAGUAUUCAAUUGUCAGAGGUGAAAUUCUUGGAUUUAUUGAAGACUAACUACUGCGAAAGCAUUUGCCAAGGAUGUUUUCAUUAAUCAAGAACGAAAGUUAGGGGAUCGAAGACGAUCAGAUACCGUCGUAGUCUUAACCAUAAACUAUGCCGACUAGGGAUCGGAUGAUGUUAAUUUUUAAUGACUCAUUCGGCGCCUUAAC
Molecule: ribosomal RNA, 520 nt
Filed under: uncultured Glomus
Lineage: Eukaryota; Fungi; Glomeromycota; Glomeromycetes; Glomerales; Glomeraceae
Description: SSU rRNA
Rfam family: Eukaryotic small subunit ribosomal RNA
Source: RNAcentral